AUUGAACGCUGGCGGCAGGCCUAACACAUGCAAGUCGAGCGGUAGCACAGAGAGCUUGCUCUCGGGUGACGAGCGGCGGACGGGUGAGUAAUGUCUGGGAAACUGCCUGAUGGAGGGGGAUAACUACUGGAAACGGUAGCUAAUACCGCAUAAUGUCGCAAGACCAAAGUGGGGGACCUUCGGGCCUCGUGCCAUCAGAUGUGCCAGAUGGGAUUAGAUAGGAGGUGGGGUAACGGCUCACCGAGGCGACGAUCCCUAGCUGGGCUGAGAGGAUGCACAGCCGCACUGGAGCUGAGACACGGACCAGACUCCUACGGGAGGCAGCGGUGGGGAAUGUUGCACAAUGGGCGCAAGCCUGGUGCAGCCAUGCCGGGUGUGUGAAGAAGGCCUUCGGGUUGUAAAGCACUUUCAGCGGGGAGGAAGGCGUUAAGGUUAAUAGCCUUGGCGAUUGACGUUACCCGCAGAAGAAGCACCGGCUAACUCCGUGCCAGCCGCCGCCGUAA
RNAcentral lists this ribosomal RNA (503 nucleotides) under uncultured bacterium. RNAcentral's name for it is "partial 16S ribosomal RNA". It matches the Rfam family "Bacterial small subunit ribosomal RNA", at positions 29 to 523 of the family's 1533-position model. The record is from RNAcentral.